UUCUACGGGAGGCAGCAGUGGGGAAUUUUGCGCAAUGGGCGAAAGCCUGACGCAGCAACGCCGCGUGAGUGAUGAAGGCUUUCGGGUCGUAAAGCUCUGUCGAGGGGAAAGAAGUGUAUUGUGGCUAAUACCCAUUAUACUGACGGU
RNAcentral lists this ribosomal RNA (147 nucleotides) under uncultured bacterium. RNAcentral describes it as "partial 16S ribosomal RNA". It matches the Rfam family "Bacterial small subunit ribosomal RNA", at positions 337 to 476 of the family's 1533-position model. The record is from RNAcentral.